AUACGUAGGUGGCGAGCGUUGUCCGGAAUUAUUGGGCGUAAAGAGCAUGUAGGCGGCUUAAUAAGUCGAGCGUGAAAAUGCGGGGCUCAACCCCGUAUGGCGCUGGAAACUGUUAGGCUUGAGUGCAGGAGAGGAAAGGGGAAUUCCCAGUGUAGCGGUGAAAUGCGUAGAUAUUGGGAGGAACACCAGUGGCGAAGGCGCCUUUCUGGACUGUGUCUGACGCUGAGAUGCGAAAGCCAGGGUAGCGAACGGGAUUAGAUACCCCGGUAGUCCUGGCCGUAAACGAUGGGUACUAGGUGUAGGAGGUAUCGACCCCUUCUGUGCCGGAGUUAACGCAAUAAGUCCCCCGCCUGGGGAGUACGGCCGCAAGGUUGAAACUCAAAUGAAUUGGCGGGG
This 396-nucleotide ribosomal RNA is filed under the name uncultured bacterium. RNAcentral's name for it is "partial 16S ribosomal RNA". It matches the Rfam family "Bacterial small subunit ribosomal RNA", at positions 523 to 918 of the family's 1533-position model. The record is from RNAcentral.